UAAAACUAAAAUAUUAUCUCAGAUGCAACAAGUGGCAUUCAUUGCAAGCAGAAAUUUGUUAAAAGGCAUUUGAAAUGUAACCAAGCUUCCUAUUUGCCUAUAAAUCCAGGACUGACACAAAUUCUCAUGCUCAAAAUGCAAAGAUAAAAAAGUGACUUCAUCCGGUUUCAAACCAACCUACACUAGCUUAUACGUGCUCCCAACUUAAAAUCCUUGUGAACAUUUAGUAAAAAAGAUAUAUUGCUAAAGAUAGCAACUUCAACUGCAAUUUGGCAACUGAUGAUGUAAGAAAAUACGCAACUUGUAAGGUUAAAGAUAAUAGAGACAGAGACAAACCAACAGUAUCAAGGGCUCGAAGAA
RNAcentral lists this unclassified non-coding RNA (360 nucleotides) under Hevea brasiliensis (rubber tree). Lineage: Eukaryota; Viridiplantae; Streptophyta; Magnoliopsida; Malpighiales; Euphorbiaceae. The record is from RNAcentral.